This 207-nucleotide ribosomal RNA is filed under the name uncultured delta proteobacterium. RNAcentral's name for it is "partial 16S ribosomal RNA". It matches the Rfam family "Bacterial small subunit ribosomal RNA", at positions 568 to 774 of the family's 1533-position model. The record is from RNAcentral. Lineage: Bacteria; Deltaproteobacteria.
CGUGUAGGCUGCUCUGCAAGUCGGGUGUGAAAGCCCUGGGCUCAACCUAGGAAGAGCACUCGAAACUGCAGAGCUUGAGUCCUGGAGAGGAUAGCGGAAUUCUCGGUGUAGAGGUGAAAUUCGUAGAUAUCGAGAGGAACACCGGUGGCGAAGGCGGCUAUCUGGACAGUGACUGACGCUGAGACGCGAAAGCGUGGGGAGCAAACA